This 83-nucleotide ribosomal RNA is filed under the name Massilia sp. LMS1-1-1.1. Its description in RNAcentral is "partial 23S ribosomal RNA". Lineage: Bacteria; Pseudomonadati; Pseudomonadota; Betaproteobacteria; Burkholderiales; Oxalobacteraceae. The record is from RNAcentral.
AGGCUGGGUGUGGAAGUGCAGUAAUGCAUUAAGCUAACCAGUACUAAUUGCCCGUACGGCUUGUCCCUAUAACCUUAGCAGGU